Molecule: ribosomal RNA, 497 nt
Filed under: uncultured bacterium
Lineage: Bacteria
Description: partial 16S ribosomal RNA
Rfam family: Bacterial small subunit ribosomal RNA
Source: RNAcentral
GAUGAACGCUGGCGGCGUGCCUAAUACAUGCAAGUCGAGCGAACAGACGAGGAGCUUGCUCCUUUGACGUUAGCGGCGGACGGGUGAGUAACACGUGGAUAACCUACCUAUAAGACUGGGAUAACUUCGGGAAACCGGAGCUAAUACCGGAUAACAUGUUGAACCGCAUGGUUCAACAGUGAAAGACGGUCUUGCUGUCACUUAUAGAUGGAUCCGCGCCGCAUUAGCUAGUUGGUAAGGUAACGGCAUACCAAGGCAACGAUGCGUAGCCGACCUGAGAGGGUGAUCGGCCACACUGGAACUGAGACACGGUCCAGACUCCUACGGGAGGCAGCAGUAGGGAAUCUUCCGCGAUGGGCGAAAGCCUGACGGAGCAACGCCGCGUGAGUGAAGAAGGUCUUCGGAUCGUAAAACUCUGUUAUUAGGGAAGAACAAAUGUGUAAGUAACUAUGCACGUCUUGACGGUACCUAAUCAGAAAGCCACGGCUAACUACGUG